Molecule: ribosomal RNA, 497 nt
Filed under: uncultured bacterium
Lineage: Bacteria
Description: bacterial SSU rRNA
Rfam family: Bacterial small subunit ribosomal RNA
Source: RNAcentral
GACGCUGGCGGCAGGCUUAACACAUGCAAGUCGAGCGGAGUGAUGGUGCUUGCACUAUCACUUAGCGGCGGACGGGUGAGUAAUGCUUAGGAAUCUGCCAUUUAGUGGGGGACAACAUUCCGAAAGGAAUGCUAAUACCGCAUACGUCCUACGGGAGAAAGCAGGGGAUCUUCGGACCUUGCGCUAAAUGAUGAGCCUAAGUCGGAUUAGCUAGUUGGUGGGGUAAAGGCCUACCAAGGCGACGAUCUGUAGCGGGUCUGAGAGGAUGAUCCGCCACACUGGGACUGAGACACGGCCCAGACUCCUACGGGAGGCAGCAGUGGGGAAUAUUGGACAAUGGGCGGAAGCCUGAUCCAGCCAUGCCGCGUGUGUGAAGAAGGCCUUUUGGUUGUAAAGCACUUUAAGCGAGGAGGAGGCUACUAGUACUAAUACUACUGGAUAGUGGACGUUACUCGCAGAAUAAGCACCGGCUAACUCUGUGCCAGCCGCCGCGGUAA